CUGAAUUUAAGUCUGGGACGACAUCUUUUAUUUUUACAUGAAUCUCUAAACAAUUCUGUGAGCAAAGUUUGUAGCUGCUGGAUUAUUGUCUGUCUUUAUAGCAAGUUCCGGUAAACCACAAAUAUGACAAAGGAUAUCCGAUUUUAUGCUUGGAGUAUUUGGUACCUACCAGUUUCUGAUGUUUCAGGCCAGGAGUGGGGUAAAUAAGUGUGACCACUUAAAGCUGCUUGUAGCAUGG
RNAcentral lists this long non-coding RNA (238 nucleotides) under Bos taurus (domestic cattle). RNAcentral describes it as "long non-coding RNA NONBTAT022594". The record is from RNAcentral. Lineage: Eukaryota; Metazoa; Chordata; Mammalia; Artiodactyla; Bovidae.